RNAcentral lists this unclassified non-coding RNA (400 nucleotides) under uncultured bacterium. RNAcentral's name for it is "contains 16S-23S intergenic spacer region". The record is from RNAcentral.
GAUACCGAUCCACAAGAGACGCAGGAGUGGCUCGACGCUCUGGACAGCGUGCUCGAGUAUGAGGGCACAGAGCGCGCGCACUACUUGCUCGAGAAGCUGAUCGACAAGUCACGGCGGUCGGGGGCCUACCUGCCCUAUAGCGCCAACACCGCGUACAUCAACACCAUCCCGCCCGGCCAGGAGGAGCGCUCGCCCGGAAACCACGAGUUGGAGCAGCGCAUCCGCUCCUACGUGCGGUGGAACGCGAUGGCGAUGGUGGUGCGGGCCAACAAGGUUUCCUCCGAAUUGGGCGGCCACAUCGCCAGCUUUGCUUCCGCCGCUACCCUGUACGACGUGGGCUUCGAUCACUUCUGGCACGCGCCGAGCGAGAAGCACGGCGGCGAUCUGCUAUACGCGCAAG